UUUGGUUAAGUUAGAAAGGGCGCACGGUGGAUGCCUUGACACUAGGAGUCGAUGAAGGACGGGACUAACGCCGAUAUGCUUCGGGGAGCUGUAAGUAAGCUUUGAUCCGAAGAUUUCCGAAUGGGGAAACCCACCAUACGUAAUGGUAUGGUAUCCUUAUCUGAAUACAUAGGGUAAGGAAGACAGACCCAGG
This 193-nucleotide ribosomal RNA is filed under the name Bacillus anthracis (anthrax bacterium). RNAcentral describes it as "partial 23S ribosomal RNA". It matches the Rfam family "Bacterial large subunit ribosomal RNA", at positions 1 to 189 of the family's 2925-position model. The record is from RNAcentral. Lineage: Bacteria; Bacillati; Bacillota; Bacilli; Caryophanales; Bacillaceae.